RNAcentral lists this ribosomal RNA (398 nucleotides) under uncultured Chlamydomonadales. RNAcentral's name for it is "partial small subunit ribosomal RNA". It matches the Rfam family "Eukaryotic small subunit ribosomal RNA", at positions 30 to 432 of the family's 1831-position model. Lineage: Eukaryota; Viridiplantae; Chlorophyta; Chlorophyceae; Chlamydomonadales. The record is from RNAcentral.
GCUUGUCUCAAAGAUUAAGCCAUGCAUGUCUAAGUAUAAACUGCUUAUACUGUGAAACUGCGAAUGGCUCAUUAAAUCAGUUAUAGUUUAUUUGAUGGUACCUCUACUCGGAUAACCGUAGUAAUUCUAGAGCUAAUACGUGCGUAAAUCCCGACUUCUGGAAGGGACGUAUUUAUUAGAUAAAAGGCCAGCCGUCUCACGACGACCUGCGUUGACUCAUGAUAACUUCACGAAUCGCAUGGGCUUGCCCCGGCGAUGAAUCAUUCAAGUUUCUGCCCUAUCAGCUUUCGAUGGUAGUGUAUUGGACUACCAUGGCGGUGACGGGUAACGAAGAAUAAGGGUUCGGUUUCGGAGAGGGAGCCUGAGAGAUGGCUACCACAUCCAAGGAAGGCAGCAGG